Molecule: long non-coding RNA, 1645 nt
Filed under: Lathyrus oleraceus (garden pea)
Lineage: Eukaryota; Viridiplantae; Streptophyta; Magnoliopsida; Fabales; Fabaceae
Description: Pisum sativum (pea) long non-coding RNA (PSAT_LNC042250)
Source: RNAcentral
CCACUUUAUCAUCUUCAAUAUACAACUACCUCUGUAAGCACAAAAAAUGGACCAAAUUUAAAAAUGGUAACAACAAAUUGUCUCGAAUAUAUCCAUACGAAACUUCUAUCUUUUUAUCACAACUAUGAAGCCAAACUACAAAAAAAAACGAAGAACAAUGUCAAACUUAAAGCCAUACAAAAUCGAGUCGGAAAUUAACAAAAACUAAAACAAAAUUCAAAUUAAAACCAAUAGAACUCUGAUACAAAACUAAUUGAAAUAGUGUUAAAAAAAAUGAACCGCAAAAUACAUCAAAAAUCAAAUUGAACUCGAAUCUCUCCGGAGUUUGUUAACUACUUGAUUCCGGCCAUGAUCUCGUUUGAAUCCGCAGAGCGCCUCCGCCGCACAGAUCUGUCACCACCAUUACGGAUCGCAUGUUAGAUCUGGAAUCCACCGCUCACCCUUGUUUCAUUAAUAAUCACCUUGCAACUUUUGUGUUUUGUCAAAAUUUGGGAGGAAUAUACAAGGUGUUAUUGUUACUGGGAUGUAAGAUCCAUAGGUUUCCUUUUACAAAAAAGAAGAGAUCAAAGGUUGGGUUGUGUGUUUGUGAAUGAGAGUGAAAUAUUUGUUGAAAAAGGAAGAGAUGAGCGUUCAUAUCGAAUGAGGGAGAGAACAAGUAGUUUUUUCUUCGUUCAUUGUCAUGAGAGAGAAAGUGAGAAAUUGUUUGGUAUCAUUAUUUUCCUUUUUAAUUUUAAUUAAUUGGUUAAUUAUUUAAUCAAAUAAUAAUCGGGGAUUUUAUUUAAUAGCUAAGAUUAAUUCAUUUAAAUUAAUAAUUGGGAUUUCUAAAUUUUUAAAUCCAUGAUUUAAUCUAUGUCAUAAUUCAAUUUAUUUAUUUGUGGUUUGGUUAUUUAAAUUGGGAUUAUCACAUGUAAUUAUUUAUAAUAGUCAUAUUUAAUUAAUUAUGGAUAAAAAUAAGAUUAAUUAAAACAAGAAUACGGGAUAAAAUUAUGGGUAACUACUAGGGUUUUAGGAGAUAAAAUUAGGGAUAAAAUUGGGAUAUUGGGUAUAUCAUGCUGCAUCAUUUAAUUUAUCAUCUUAAUCAAAAAUUAAAUUAUAUUGCUGCAAUCAAAACAAAUGGGAUAAAUAUGGGAUAAAAUGUAGGACAAAAUUCUAGGGUUUUCAAGGGAUAAAAUUCUAGGGUUUUCAAGGGACAAAAUUCUAGGGUUUUCAAGGGAUAAAAUCGGGAAAAUAAAUUAAAUAUUAUAUUCAUAAACAAUUAAGGGAUAAAAUCAAAUUCAACACACUUCAAACUGUAAGUCCUCUACCCUGGAGUAUUGAGGCAUUUUAAAAGUCAAUCACUUCUCUGCCCCCGAUGCGUUAGAUUUUCAAGGGAUAAAAACAACCAACCAACCAACAGUUUUUAAGAAGAACUACGGUGCUCUGAUCCCUCGCCUAAUNNNNNNNNNNNNNNNNNNNNNNNNNNNNNNNNUUAAUAAUCACCUUGCAACUUUUGUGUUUUGUCAAAAUUUGGGAGGAAUAUACAAGGUGUUAUUGUUACUGGGAUGUAAGAUCCAUAGAUUUCCUUUUACAAAAAAGAAGAGAUCGAAGGUUGGGUUGUGUGUUUGUGAAUGAGAGUGAAAUAUUUGUUGAAAAAGGAAGAGAUGAG